CCCAAAGUCGUGGCUAGUAAACCAGUAGAAGACCACGAUCCCCAUCUAAUGAGACAACUCCCCAGUUCCUCCCACCUUCCUCAACUCUCCUCUUUCUUCGAUUAUGGAUGCUAUAAAAACAAUCGAUUUUUUGAAACCGUAUACACAGAGAAGAUUAUACUUCAGAUUUGGAAAAAGGAAAUUCAUCAAUUUCAUUAUUCUCUGCAGGACAUCAUCGAUUUUAUCUGCACAAGCUGGAAAAAAAACUUUAUGUUUUCUGUCUCUACUGGUGGUAAAUCUCUGUCUCUCUGCAAGUGAAGUUUGGCCAAGUAGAAGAGGCACUCGUUGAUAAUUAGGGUGCUCAAGUUGGUUCGUACUUGGUCUUCUUGGAUUUCACUCAUUCUUCCAAGUGGUUUUGGUUGUUGCUGCUACUUUGCUGUUGCACAUUCAAGGGACUUGUAUGAUAUCGGCAGGGGAGAUUUUGGCAAAACAUUCUCUCUUUCGUAGAUUGGAGCAAACCUGUUAUGUUUGUAAAACCCAUUUGUAAACGUCGUACAAAAAACUUGAGAUGUUGAUGGUCGAAAGAUCUCCAUUUCAGGUUGUCUCAUAUUCCAUUGCCUUGGGGAGCUGCGUAGUGGCCAUUACCUCUUGGGACGGGCCAUGAGACAUACAUUUAUUCAAUAAUUUAUUUUCAUAAUUACAUGGUUACUUGGUUUGGUAUAUAUAGCCUAUGAGGAUAUCGAAUUAUAAAGAACACCAUCUUUCGGGACUGUAUGGCUUAACGCCUUGGUGACAUAUUCUGCAAUUCUGAGGCUUGUAGGUUUGAAUUUUAUGGGCAACCAGUUGCAAAUUGCUUGGUAUUCUACCAUCCUUCUGGCUUGUUCAACUAUUGAAUCUGAAUUUGUGUUAGAUUAUGAGUACAUGUUUUACGUUUUAGUCUUUGAUCAUAAAUGGCUAUGGUUACCUGCGCUUCUGAGAGUUAUCUAUGAAGCUAAAAAGUUUAAAAUGGUUGAAUUUCUUGAUAUGAGCCAUAUUUUGUAGACUAAAUAAAUGAUUUAGGAUAUCCCGUUCGAUUAUGUUAUUGAAUUGAAUUAAUGGUGAAAUUGGGCUGUGAUGAUCAUUACACAGCUUUAUGCCAGUUCUGCUUCAGAAAAUUCUUGAUAGAGAGAGCUGAAAUGCGAAUAUUCCUUAGAAAAUUUUCAAAUUUGACCCAUUCUGCAAAUUUUAGGUCUUCUUGGAGUUCCCUCAAUCUUCUAAGUGGUUGUUGCUGCUGCUGCUGCUGUUACUUUGCUGCUGUACGUUCAAGGAAAUAUGGAUGAAAACCCACAACCUCCGGCAGCAAAGAAAGUAAGAGGAGGGGCUAAGUUCAACUUCCUUAAUAAGCUGAAAAGGGGUGAGAAAGUAUCACUGGAAUUUCGCCGGGGUGCACCAGUUGGACCGAACGCAAAUAAGAUCUCGGCUUAUUGUGGAAAGCUGGCACUAAAUGGAGAAAACUUCCCGUUUGACAUUCCAGACUGGUCUGAUAUGCCCCAUAAGGAAGAAAAGCUUGAAGAAGCCAUUGAAGAGCUGAAGAAUAUUUUUCAUUAUUCUGGUGAGAUCAACUUUUGGGUGGAGGAGAAAAUCCAUGAAAAAUGGAAGGCAAACAAACGUAACAUGAGGUUGGAACAUUUUGAUGAGAAGAAGACUGAUGCACAAAACUGAGCUAGUUGUCCAAACGAAGUUAUUGACACUCAGUGGGCAAAUAUGUUGAUAUAUUGGAGUUCACUUGAAUUCAAGGUGAGAAUGUUUACAGAUUUAUCGUUUAUGAGUUUAUAUGUUAAAUUGUGACUUCUAACUUCUGAACCUUGAAAAAGAGUGAGAAUGGUUGGUUGUGCCUCAUCAUGGUGGUACUAAGUCAUUCGUGAACCACGCGAUAGAGGUAACGACUAAUAUGAAUCGGUAUUGAUAGUUAAUGUUAUGUAGAUCUUGACAUACUAUAUAUGAACAUAUAGAAGAGAUAACGCAAAAGAAAGCAAGUCGAGCUGCUGUGUAUCAGAAAACCUAUAGAGCCAAAGAAGGGAAAGGAGACCAGUAUUCUAAAAUCAUGGGAGCUGAGAAACCAGGUCGGAUUCGUGGUGUUGGUUCAACAAUUAAAGUAACCAAGCUUACGGGAGAAUCUUCUUCAAAUGUUGUCCAAAACAACGAGGAAAAUGCUGCAUUAAGAGAUGAAAUAAAAAAACUGAAGGAGGAUCAGGUUCAUAUGCAGAACGACAUGGAAGAAGAACGUCUUGAGAUGAAGAAAACUGUAGAUGAUAUGAAAAAGGCUAACGAGGAAUCACAGAAAAAAAUAGAUGCCCUUUUGCUGCUGUUUGCUGGUCGGUUAUGUAUUAGCAUAUCCACAAAUAUUUUUGGCAGUGUAUUCUCUAGAUUCUUAAAGCUUUCUCGGGCAUGUAUGAGUAUAUCCACAAAUAUUUUACAAGCUUUCCUAAUUGCAUUUUGUUUUGUAGAGGGACCUCCCACAUCCAGAGCCAUAGAGUUGUGAUCUUAUUACACGAAUCUGAGGUUAAUUUCAUUGAAAGAACAUGUUCAAGGUGUUGGAAGAUAUAUGACAAUUAACUUUGGAAGUAAGAAAUCCAUCUGUGAUAGUUUAAGUAUUUUAUUUUCGUUCACUUUAAGUAUUUGUGUAUCAAACUAAAAAUGGUUUAGUAUUAAGUAUUUAUUUGCUUCCUGUAUCAGACUCGGAAUGGUUUAGUAUUGAGUUUUUAUUUGCUUCUGAAUGUAAUCAAUCAGACAAACAUGUAGUACUUGUGUUUUUUAAUGAAUAAAUUGUUUUUCUGAAA
Long non-coding RNA from Papaver somniferum (opium poppy), 2798 nucleotides. RefSeq lists it as uncharacterized. Lineage: Eukaryota; Viridiplantae; Streptophyta; Magnoliopsida; Ranunculales; Papaveraceae. The transcript has 8 exons. The record is from RefSeq and is a predicted model, not a curated record.